GGUGAACGCUAGCUACAGGCUUAACACAUGCAAGUCGAGGGGCAGCAUGUCGGUUGCUUGCAACCGACGAUGGCGACCGGCGCACGGGUGAGUAACGCGUAUCCAACCUACCCUUGUCCAUCGGAUAACCCGUCGAAAGGCGGCCUAACACGAUAUGCGGUUCUCAGCAGGCAUCUAACGAGAACGAAAUGUGAAGGAGAAGGAUGGGGAUGCGUCUGAUUAGCUUGUUGGCGGGGUAACGGCCCACCAAGGCGACGAUCAGUAGGGGUUCUGAGAGGAAGGUCCCCCACAUUGGAACUGAGACACGGUCCAAACUCCUACGGGAGGCAGCAGUGAGGAAUAUUGGUCAAUGGACGGAAGUCUGAACCAGCCAAGUAGCGUGCAGGAUGACGGCCCUAUGGGUUGUAAACUGCUUUUAUGUGGGAAUAAAGUGAGGGACGUGUCCCUUUUUGUAGGUACCACAUGAAUAAGGACCGGCUAAUUCCGUGCCAGCAGCCGCGGUAAUACGGAAGGUCCGGGCGUUAUCCGGAUUUAUUGGGUUUAAAGGGAGCGUAGGCCGUUUUUUAAGCGUGUUGUGAAAUACUGUCGCUCAACGACAGAGGUGCAGCGCGAACUGGGAGACUUGAGUGCGCGGAAUGCAGGCGGAAUUCGUCGUGUAGCGGUGAAAUGCUUAGAUAUGACGAAGAACUCCGAUUGCGAAGGCAGCUUGCAGUAGCGUAACUGACGCUGAAGCUCGAAAGUGCGGGUAUCGAACAGG
Molecule: ribosomal RNA, 757 nt
Filed under: uncultured bacterium
Lineage: Bacteria
Description: bacterial SSU rRNA
Rfam family: Bacterial small subunit ribosomal RNA
Source: RNAcentral